This 1911-nucleotide long non-coding RNA is filed under the name Theobroma cacao (cacao). RNAcentral's name for it is "long non-coding RNA (TCAC_LNC001043)". Lineage: Eukaryota; Viridiplantae; Streptophyta; Magnoliopsida; Malvales; Malvaceae. The record is from RNAcentral.
AAACAGUCGCUGUUUGCAACAGAGACAGUCAUAGUUUUGUUUGGCUUGAUUUAUAGUGGCACGUGGGCCCACGAACGACUAAAAGUAUCAAAAGCGGUAAACCUAGAGUUUUUGAGGAUGCAAAACCAACUGUAGCCCUCAACAAAGUGAGCUAUCUACCGACUAUCUUGAGCCUAAAAUGGGUAGAAAUGAGGGUGGUGAGAUUAUAUAAUCCUAGUGAGUAAACAAAUACCAUCUAAAAUAUCUAAAGUUGAGUAAAUGGAGACAGAUUAAAAUAGAUCAUCAUACUAUAAUUUAUCACCUUUCAACUCAUUUCAACCAAAUAAAAUCAAUUCAUAUAAAUCGAGUAAUCAACAUGGAUUAUGAAUUUCUUAAAACUCUGGCUCGUGGCAAAAUCAUUCUCAUACUCAGUUAUCAGGGAUACCUUGGUCGAGGGCUAUCCCAACCGAGUCCGCCAAGGCUAUUAAAAAGUUAUGUAUGCAUAAAUCAUGUUUUUAUUUUAAAAACAUAGCUGUUCCUUAGCAUUGGCUGAGUUCACCCUCACGUGGUGGUUUAGCAUGAAGUGAACUCUAAAGUGCUAACCUCAGGAGUUAUCCAUUCGCGCCUCUCAUACUGAGGUAUGAAUAUAAUAGGGUUAUCGGGCCCCCUCUAAUAGGCUGAUCCACGGAACCCAUCCACUGAAACGACUAAUCAAUAACCCACAAAUUCAAUAAAAUUUAACAGCAUGACAUGGCAAUUUUAUCAUUAUUCAGCCUAUCAAGGCAGACAGCAGUUUAUACAUUUUCAACACAAAUACUAAUUUAGCCAUUCAUGCCAAUAUUGCCAUAAGCCAAUCAAUUAGAACCAUAAAUUCACAAUACAUCAAAUGGUCUCCAAUUACUCUAUUUUCAAAGCCAUCAUUCAAUUUCAAGAUAAUUUAUAAAAUCAUUUCAUUUAAACACAUUUUGUUUAUAAAACAUAAAGAUUUACUAUUUAAACUCAUUUUCCAUAAAAUCACAAAAUCAGAUAAAAACCACUUUAGAUAAUUAAGAUGAUAGUAAGGUUACUGACUAUUUCGAGAGUCGAAUUUCGAGUACUUCGAUUCUUGAUCCUCGGGUACUAUCUCUUUACUUUUGCCAGAAUGCUCACCACCUAGACAUAAUGCACAAUAAGCCAUUUACUACAUUGUGCUAAAUUGUUAUAAAACCAAUUCAGGCUUUAUACUAAUGUAUGAAAUGGGAUACAAAUUGUUUGGAUUAUUGUCUAAACACGGUGUUCUACACAAAUUCAAUUGUAUACCUAAAUUAAAUAGUAUUGGCCUAAUUCGAUCUAUCACUCGAUUAAUUGGCCAAUACGUCCAAUUCAACUCCAAAUAAUUUCAUUUUUCUCCCGAUACUCCAAAUCAUCAAACACAAAUUAAAUAACUUGAAAUAUGGCAAAAUCAUCUUCACAUUUGCUCUUGGAUAAUUCAGCCAUGCUGGGUGCAUCAACACUAUAAUUUUUCCUACUUGAUUCUCACACCAUAAAUCAUUAAUUCCUAACCAAAUCACUUGAAAAAAAAAUCAAAAUCAUCAUCAAUAUUCUACAUGGAGAAUUCGGCCAAUGAUGGGUGAUGGGAGAACAUGAAUUUUUCUUGCUUGAUUUUCAUGCUACACAUCACCAAUCAACUAAAAACACUAAAAUACAUUGAAAUCUAACCAAAUUAAGCAUUAAAACCUUUCUCCUAGGGUUUGAUCAGCACACUAUCCUUCAUGAUAUAUUGUGAUUCAACCAUGGAAAAUGCAAAACAAUGCAUGGGAAAGGUAGAUCACAAGUCAAAAUCAAGAAAUUUUACCUUAGAUUGCUUGAUUACUUGAAAUCCACCAAUUUUCUCUUGAAUUUUCACCCUAGGGUUCUUGUUCUUCCUUUUUCUUCCUUUGUUCUUACUUUGGC